RNAcentral lists this ribosomal RNA (465 nucleotides) under Vreelandella stevensii. Its description in RNAcentral is "partial 16S ribosomal RNA". It matches the Rfam family "Bacterial small subunit ribosomal RNA", at positions 338 to 795 of the family's 1533-position model. The record is from RNAcentral. Lineage: Bacteria; Pseudomonadati; Pseudomonadota; Gammaproteobacteria; Oceanospirillales; Halomonadaceae.
CCUACGGGGGGCAGUAGUGGGGAAUAUUGGACAAUGGGGGGAACCCUGAUCCAGCCAUGCCGCGUGUGUGAAGAAGGCCCUCGGGUUGUAAAGCACUUUCAGUGAGGAAGAACGCCUGGUGGUUAAUACCCAUCAGGAAAGACAUCACUCACAGAAGAAGCACCGGCUAACUCCGUGCCAGCAGCCGCGGUAAUACGGAGGGUGCGAGCGUUAAUCGGAAUUACUGGGCGUAAAGCGCGCGUAGGUGGCUUGAUAAGCCGGUUGUGAAAGCCCCGGGCUCAACCUGGGAACGGCAUCCGGAACUGUCAAGCUAGAGUGCAGGAGAGGAAGGUAGAAUUCCCGGUGUAGCGGUGAAAUGCGUAGAGAUCGGGAGGAAUACCAGUGGCGAAGGCGGCCUUCUGGACUGACACUGACACUGAGGUGCGAAAGCGUGGGUAGCAAACAGGAUUAGAUACCCUUGUAGUC